ACGGAGGGUGCAGGCGUUAUCCGGAUUCACUGGGUUUAAAGGGUGCGUAGGCGGGUAUGUAAGUCAGUGGUGGAAUCCCCGAGCUUAACUCGGGAACUGCCAUUGAUACUAUAUAUCUUGAAUGUUCUGGAGGUAUGCGGAAUAUGUCAUGUAGCGGUGAAAUGCUUAGAGAUGACAUAGAACACCUAUUGCGAAGGCAGCAUACUACGGAAAUAUUGACGCUGAGGCACGAAAGUGUGGGGAUCAAACAGGA
Molecule: ribosomal RNA, 253 nt
Filed under: uncultured prokaryote
Description: partial 16S ribosomal RNA
Rfam family: Bacterial small subunit ribosomal RNA
Source: RNAcentral